UCUAGUCAGGAUUCUAGUUGUCAAAUAUAAGCGUGUCGAAUACGUAUUAGUUAACUGUCAAAUGAAAUUAGAUCAACGGUAGACUUUUUUGUCGAUGGGUAUAGCUGCCAUGUUUGGAUUUAUGACAUUUGAAAGGGAAUCCUAAGGCAGAGAGUAGUUUUUUCUGUACGAUUUUGAUUCUUCUACUCGACGCAAGAUGGAGUUAGCUGCCAAAUUCCGAUCUUGGCGUUAUAAAAAUAAACCGCAAGAACCAUGACAAUGACAUGCAGUUGCGUCGAUGUAGAUCUAUCAUAAAAACGUACAUGUGACAAUUGUCCAGGAUUUAAAAAAAUCUUGACAAUUAAUAAAUGUCAAAAAGAAAACUGAUUUAUUAUAAAAAUACAAAUUAUAUAUAAAGUUUGAUUUUAAAACCAAUGGUCGUGGGUCCUAACCCCGGCUCUUAACAAUGAACAUCUUGUAACUUGUGUGCAAAAUAUCAUUUAACUUUUACCAAUUACUUUUCGGUUAAAUAUAAUAUCACGAGGAAGAAGUAGGCCCAAUAAGGUAUAUUUUCCCCUCUGGGUUAGAAGGUCAGAUGGCAGUGAGACAGGGAGAGAUAGUGAAAAAUGCGGCAAAAUAAUCAUUAAUUGUGUUGUUAGACUAGCUUUUUUUGUUAAUAUGAAAAUUGACGCAACAGCAAGCUCAAAGCCCCCUAUGAGCCAGAGCCUGUUAGGUGCAGGCUUAAUUGGCUCAUCCGAGGGAAGCGGAGCUUCGGCGACUAGCUGGUUGCGUCUGCUUAUCAACUUCUUCCAAUUCACUUUUACAUCAACUCCUUAUAAAUUUGUAAAUUAAGGUCAACUUUGUAAGAACUAAUACCUGUGCCAUACUAUAAAUUGGACGAUAUGCCUAAUUAAUUGUUAUUAAUGUUGAAUUUUUAAUGGCGUAUAAUAUAAGACAGCGGUCGUAUAAUGACUGAGAAAUUUGGAUUUUUCUGUUUGAAUAAACAGCAAACUGGAGACAUUGAGAUUAAUUAUAAACUUAUUAUUUUAGGUGUUAUCAAGAAAAAAGGUCUUAACAGAUUUAUGAAUAGGCAUUGGCAGAAAAACAGGCGUCCGACCACGCAUAAUGGAGGAUUAUAUUUCUUUUAUCAUGUAGCUAUAUCUAUAUGACCUCUGCCGCCGACUUUUUCACCCGUUGGCGCCUGUGCCCAAAUCCUUCUAAGACCGAAGUUUGCUGUUUCCACCUGUCCAAUAAGCUGGCACAUAAGACCCUCAAGAGUUAGAUUCCGGGGUACAGCCUUACAACAUAACUAUUCCCCAAAGUAUCUCGGUGUUACACUGGACAGAAGCCUGACAUACCGAUUGCACAUAGAGAAGCUAAAAAGUAAAAUAAGGACCAGGAUAUUUUAAUUACGAUACAUAAAUAACUACUAAAACAUGUUUUCUGCAAGAAAUUAGUUAUCUUAUUAUAUUAUAAAAUAUUUAUUAUCCAUCUGUGAUGUUUAUUUCUUGUGAAGAUAUCGAAGUUUCGCUGUGUAGCACUUAUCGAUAUAUAAUAUGAUCAAAAUCGACCCGUCCACAUCCCUAAAAAUCCACACAUACACAUUUUUACGCUCAUAUACAAAGCAGUAUAACCACCAAAAUGGCUACGGCUUGAGUAUUCAAAUUUGUAUUGAGAAAAGGCAACUAUAUCCUGUCUUUAUUUGCCUCUCUAUCGCUCGAAUAUGCAAUACGCAUGCACUCUUCGUCAAAAUCGGUUUGAAACUUUUUCGACUGAGUACGCGCAAUAAACGCCUAGUAGUAGUAUUUAAAUGUUUACCGUAUUCAUUUAAAGCAUCGUAGGACAAUGCCGCUAUGUAAACUGUAAGGUGGGUCUUAAAUUAGUGUGAGUUAUUUUGGCAGCGGACUCAACCUUCACGUUACAAUAUUUAAAGUAUUGCGCUGUCAUAGUAACGAAAAUGAUAAACACGUCAAUCGGAGUAAACAAGUAACUAAAUGAUGCAAACAAGAAAAUAUUGCAAAAUAGGUACAUAUAUAUGUACCGAUAAUUAUUUUGUGUUAAAAAUAUGAGGCAAAUUAUACUGCCCGAUUAUACGGACUACAUAUUAAAAACGAUUAUCUUGGAAACAGUCAAUAGAUGUCGAACCACCAGCAAAGUUUUUGAAGAGGUGUAGUUCCUGGUACCAACUGGAAACUGAAACUAAUAAUCUACACUCAAGAAAAUGAAAUAUAGUCACAGAAAACUUUAAUGUUUUAUUUUAUUAAAGAAAAACGUUAAAAAAAUGUCUAAACAGAAAUAUAUAUUUUUUAAUUCGUAGUUGAAUAACAUAAUAUGUAUUUAAUCUCCUGUACAUAGGAAUCGUCUUUUUGUAGGUUUAUAUAAACAAUAAGUACUUAGGUCGAUUUAGGCAUCAACUCAUCACACCAAAAUUUUGUUCUAACCGGUCACACCGCCAAAAGCAGUAUUAUUUGUUUCAACCCGUCACAAGUAGAUUUAGUUCUAUUAGGACACAUCGUAAUUUUGUAGCUAUUGGUCAAACUGCUAAUCUGUUCCUAUUCGUCAUCCCGUCAAACUGUUCUAACUAGUCACAAGGAGGAUACCUAAACAAAUUUCACUACCCGCCAAACGUGUAAUAUAGACCAUAUAGUAGGUCUUAAUGGUGAUGGCGACUGUACAAUGGGGUUGCGUAUACAUACAAAGAGCAUUCAAAUAGUUGGUGAUAGACCAAGUGACCGAGUUACUAACAGUUAUAUUAUAUCUUUUUUAUAAAUAAUGUAAUAGCGUAAUUUUUGGAAAAAUAAUAAAGGAUUCAUGAACCA
Molecule: long non-coding RNA, 2798 nt
Organism: Cydia pomonella (codling moth)
Lineage: Eukaryota; Metazoa; Arthropoda; Insecta; Lepidoptera; Tortricidae
Exons: 2
Source: RefSeq, a predicted model, not a curated record